CUCCAAGAUUGUACACACUUCGGGGGAGGAAGCCCUAGUGAUGGGCGCUCACCAGAUGAACAAUUCAGUGGUCACAGAUGUAGCUGUGAACAUGUGAUCCAUCAUCUCGUGGACAACAAAAGACUUUUUCCAGGACCAGCAAUGAUUUCCAUGUGCUCACAAGGCUUUAUGAAUGUGCUGUCCCGCCCGUAGGUCAGCCCGGCGAUGCAUUCUCUGCGCUUCGCGACUUAGGGGAGCUCAAAAAAGAGGACUGAGACUUAUGGUGUCAAAGAUUGCCUUUACUGCUAACUUACUAGCUUGGGAGGCUGUGCCCUAGUUUUCUUCCGAACAAAAAUAAGAGAAAUAACACUUGGCUGAGUGUCUUGCUUCUCCUUUUGGACGGGACAUUGAAAGGACACCAAAACCCUUCUCAGAGGUUCUAAAGGAAAUGUAUGUUGUCCGGAUGUGGAAAAUCAGGAGUGCUACUUUCAGAGGGGACCUGAGGAGUGAGGAUUUAAACUUACCUGUUUAUUGGUGCUGGCAGGGGUCAGAGAGCAGAGACCUGUGGGGUCUACAGCAGUAAUGAAUGUGCCUUACUUCUCUAAUGAAAGAGAGAGAGAGAAGAUUUUUCUAGAUGCUCCAGAGGCAGAACCUUUCAUUGCGACCUGGUAUUGGGUUGGGAAUUUAUCUACACUGUUUGUCAGUAGAAGAUUUGAGAAUUUUUGCUCUGGCUUCCAGAGUUCUUAAGAAAUUGCCAGAUUUUGUGCAAACACCUACCCUUCUCUUCCCUUCCUCAAGUAAGUUUCCCCUAACUAAAUGUGCGAUUGUUGGUGUGUUGGCAUCUGGCAUUUAGUAGAUGAUCAGUAAAUAUUUGUGAAUGACUGAAUGAGUGUAAUCACAUGAGGGAAUGAUUAAAUAAUUAUUGUAUAAUAUAUUCUGAAGUUUUGCUUUUUCCCUCCCAUUUAAACCACUUGAUUUGUUUGAAGAAGGAACGUGGCUCAGUUGUCAGUCGUACAUGCAUAGCACGAAGCGGAAAAUCCAGUCUCUCAAAAAAAAAAAAAGACAAAAAUGAAAAUAUCGAAUGGACUCUUGUCGAAUUCAUCUAGAAAUAUCUGCAAUUCUCAUGAAAAGAAUGUAAAAUGUCUGAGUAAAAAUCUCGUGAAUUUCUAAAACACGUUAGAAUGUCUGGCCCUUUACCAUACAGA
Long non-coding RNA from Sus scrofa (pig), 1184 nucleotides. RefSeq lists it as uncharacterized. NCBI's taxonomy places the organism in Eukaryota, Metazoa, Chordata, Mammalia, Artiodactyla, Suidae. The record is from RefSeq and is a predicted model, not a curated record.